Molecule: unclassified non-coding RNA, 248 nt
Filed under: Hevea brasiliensis (rubber tree)
Lineage: Eukaryota; Viridiplantae; Streptophyta; Magnoliopsida; Malpighiales; Euphorbiaceae
Source: RNAcentral
GAGAUAGCAUAUGCACAUACCAAAAUCACUGACUAUAGCCCAGUUUGGGGCCUCAAAAACCAUCUAAGACAGCCGAGUCAUUAAGAUAAAUAUACACCAUCUCAGUUACCAACCACACGUCUCAGCCGCAAUCCUUCACCAGCCACUGCUGCAUGGCCGGUGCCCAGCAGAUGUGCAUUUUGUGUCUCGGAUGAAGUCCCCACAUCAGUUUGCUUCUCUUCGGAGUCUUCACCGAAGUUAUGGAGUCG